UACGUAGGGGCGAGCGUUGUCCGGAGUUACUGGGCGUAAAGGGCGUGCAGGCGGUGCGGUAAGUUUAGCGUGACAGUCUCCGGCUUAACUGGAGAAGGCCGCUGAAAACUGCUGACUUGAGGGCCAGAGAGGGACAUAGAAUUCCGGGUGGAGUGGUGAAAUGCGUAGAUAUCCGGAGGAAUACCAAAGGCGAAGGCAGUGUCCUGGCUGGCAACUGACGCUGAGGCGCGAAAGCUAGGGGGGAGCGAACAGG
This 253-nucleotide ribosomal RNA is filed under the name uncultured bacterium. RNAcentral's name for it is "partial 16S ribosomal RNA". It matches the Rfam family "Bacterial small subunit ribosomal RNA", at positions 524 to 776 of the family's 1533-position model. The record is from RNAcentral.